RNAcentral lists this ribosomal RNA (301 nucleotides) under uncultured bacterium. Its description in RNAcentral is "partial 16S ribosomal RNA". It matches the Rfam family "Bacterial small subunit ribosomal RNA", at positions 509 to 809 of the family's 1533-position model. The record is from RNAcentral.
CAGUAGCCACGGGAAUACAGAGGGUGCGAGCGUUAAUCGGAUUUACUGGGCGUAAAGCGUGCGUAGGCGGCUUCUUAAGUCGGAUGUGAAAUCCCUGAGCUUAACUUAGGAAUUGCAUUCGAUACUGGGAAGCUAGAGUAUGGGAGAGGAUGGUAGAAUUCCAGGUGUAGCGGUGAAAUGCGUAGAGAUCUGGAGGAAUACCGAUGGCGAAGGCAGCCAUCUGGCCUAAUACUGACGCUGAGGUACGAAAGCAUGGGGAGCAAACAGGAUUAGAUACCCCCGUAGUCCCUGUCUCUUAUAU